UUAAUUUCAGGAGCUCCUGAGUUGAUACUGAACUCAAGACAUGUCUUCUGGAUUGCCUGCCUGAGAACUGGAAGGAUAAUUUAAGAAGUAACAGGUAAUCAAGCCCAUAGAUAAGAUUAGGGGCAGAUUACAAAGCAGAAUGAAAAAUAAAGACAUCCCUAGAGGUUGAGCUUCCUAGACGCUAUGGGGCUGGACAGCUUUUAGGGAAUUAGAAGUAAUGGGUGGGACUGCAAUGGAUCUGGGUUAAUAGAGGCAUGAAAAAGAAAGAUGGCUUCGCUAAUUGUUGAGGUGAAGUUUCUCCUGUAAUUUCAUGAACCUGGAUAGUUCCCAGGUGGCUUUCAAGUGAAAAUUAAAAGUACUAAAAGAGGCUUAUGGGGAGAAAGUUGAAAGGUGGAAAAGUUAAAAAGGUUUGUUUCCUUGUUUUAGUCAGAUGAAGGCUCUCAGGAACUGAUCAAAGUCAUACUCAGAAUUUAUCUCGCCUUUGUUUAUACUAAAUAAUGAGGUAGCUUGAGAAGGGUCAGAAAGUUCCAGAUUCAAAUAGGGCAACUUGCCUACCUAGCAAAACUAACAACUGUCUUGUUAACUGUUAGUUUUUGACAUCCUACUGCUCUCCUGCCCAAAAUGGGUGUAGGAUUCCAGAAUGUUCUCUGGAAAAAUAGGAAAGCGAGGAAGGUUAACAUUCAGGAUAUGCAAAAGCCAGAGGAUAUCUAAUGUUGUAGACCAACCUUCCCUAAAAUGCUUUUAACUCCAACUCACAUCAAGCCCAGACAGCAUGGCCACAUCUGGAGGGCAGAAGGUUCUGGAAAGCUAUUAUUAUUAUUAUUAUUAUUAUUAUUAUUAUUAUUAUUAAUACCCCGCCCAUUUGGCUGGCUUUCCCCGGCCACUCUGGGCAGCUCCCAACAGAAUAUUAAAAACACAAUAAAAUAUCAAACAUUAAAAACUUUCCUAAACAGGGCUGCCUUCAGAUGUCUUCUAAAAGUCAGGUAGUUGUUUAUUUCCUUGACAUCUGAUGGGAGGGCAUUCCACAGGGCAGGCCCCACAACAGUGGUACCUUGAUUCUCAAACGCCUUGGUUCUCAUAUGCCUUGGUUCUUAAACACCGAAAACCUGGAAGUAAGUGUUCUGGUUUUCAAACAUUUUUCAGAAGCCGAAAGUCCUAUGUGGCUGUUGGCUGUUGUUUCCAGGGCACCUGCACCAAUCAGAAGCUAUGCCUUGGUUUUUUAAUAUUUUGGAAGUCAAACAGACUUCUGGAAUGGAUUAAGUUUGACACUUUUGUUUUUGCUAUUUAUUUUGCAUUUUUGUGGCUUUUUUGGUUAAUUUGUUUUUGUGACUGUGUGGAACCCAGUUUAGCUACUGAUUGACUGAUUACGUGACUGCGGAAAUGGAUAAAAGUCCCCUCUAUCCACACAAUGAAUAUCAUUGGUGCAGGUAAGAAAAAAAGUAAUUUUAAUUUUUAUCAUCUACAAUACUGCCUUAUUUAUUUUAUAGUACAGUGCAUUGAUUAUUGUUUUCAUUUUUUCGAUCAAUGGUCUCAUUAGAUAGUAAAAUUCAUAUUAAAUUGCUGUUUUAGGGGUUGUUUUUAAAAAUCUAGAAUGGAUUAAUCCAUUUUGCAUUACUUUCCAUGGGAAAGCGUGCCUUGAUUUUGGAAAGCUUUGGUUUGGAAUGGACUUCCGGAACGGAUUAGGUUUGAGAAUCAAGGUACCACUGUAUCGAGAAGGCCCUCUGCCUGGUUCUCUGUAACCUCACUUCUUGCAGUGAGGGAACAACCAGAAGGCCUUUAGAGCUCUGGGCAAUGUAGCUCAAGUAAUUUUGUAUUUAUGUAUUUAUAUUUAUAUUUAAUAUUGAUUGAUUGUGUUUACUGCUCUUCAUCCAUAGAUUUCAGGGUGGUCUGCAACACAAAAUUACAUCAUAAAACCCACAAAAUAUAUAUUAAAAUAAGAACAGCAAUGAACUAGUAAUUUGCAAAGAUCACGUUCCUCCCUGAAGAUUCCACCCCUUCACACCAUUUCCACCCACUGGUCAUGGAAGACCCUUCUUCAAAAUUGCUUUCACAAUCUGUCUGGAUAUAUUCUGUAUUCAAGUAAUAUAUUCUGUGCCAGGGAAUCUUGCUCCAUCUUCUAUGAAAUACGCAGAUCAAAGAAAAGUCCUCCUCUGUCACAGACACUUCCCCAGAGCAAUUAUUCCAGGUUCUGCUCACUUCUGUCUAGCAACUCUGUUUGCUGCAGCAUCUUUCUCUUGUUGAUGGAGUGUGCGAGGCACACGGGCCUGCCACACUGCCCUUGUACCCUCUCUCACAUGUGCACAUUUCUCUGCCAGUUUGUCAAGUUAAUGGGGAAUGAUAUUAAUAAGCUUCCUGUGACAGUGCUUGGGCAUACUGUCAUGUUUACAAGGCAAUUUUGAAAGCAGUUCAUGCAAAUUACAUCCCAGUCUGUCAUCUGCGGCGGUAAAGUCACGGUGGGAAAGGAAGGCUACGGUAAUGUCCGUGACAGGUGGAAAGAGAAAGCUGGGGGAGCUCUAGAUGGAGAAAAUAGAGGGGAAUGAUUACAGGUGGAAGGGUUGAAGAAAAAACCUGAUCACUGUGAAUUUUAAUGCUUUUCAUUGAGAGAGAGAGAGAGUUGGCAAACGAG
Molecule: long non-coding RNA, 2626 nt
Filed under: Podarcis lilfordi (Lilford's wall lizard)
Lineage: Eukaryota; Metazoa; Chordata; Lepidosauria; Squamata; Lacertidae
Source: RNAcentral